UACGUAGGUGGCAAGCGUUAUCCGGAAUUAUUGGGCGUAAAGAGCGCGCAGGUGGUUAAUUAAGUCUGAUGUGAAAGCCCACGGCUUAGCCGUGGAGGGUCAUUGGAAACUGGUUGACUUGAGUGCAGAAGAGGGAAGUGGAAUUCCAUGUGUAGCGGUGAAAUGCGUAGAGAUAUGGAGGAACACCAGUGGCGAAGGCGGCUUCCUGGUCUGUAACUGACACUGAGGCGCGAAAGCGUGGGGAGCAAACAGG
This 253-nucleotide ribosomal RNA is filed under the name uncultured bacterium. RNAcentral's name for it is "partial 16S ribosomal RNA". It matches the Rfam family "Bacterial small subunit ribosomal RNA", at positions 524 to 776 of the family's 1533-position model. The record is from RNAcentral.